GAACGGUGUCUUCGGACACAGUGGCGGACGGGUGAGUAACGCGUGAGAAUCUGGCUUUAGGUCUGGGACAACCACUGGAAACGGUGGCUAAUACCGGAUGUGCCCUUAGGGGUGAAAGGUUAACUGCCUGAAGAUGAGCUCGCGUCUGAUUAGCUAGUUGGUGUGGUAAGAGCGCACCAAGGCGACGAUCAGUAGCUGGUCUGAGAGGACGAUCAGCCACACUGGGACUGAGACACGGCCCAGACUCCUACGGGAGGCAGCAGUGGGGAAUUUUCCGCAAUGGGCGAAAGCCUGACGGAGCAAUACCGCGUGAGGGAGGAAGGCUCUUGGGUCGUAAACCUCUUUUCUCAGGGAAGAACACAAUGACGGUACCUGAGGAAUAAGCAUCGGCUAACUCCGUGCCAGCAGCCGCGGUAAUACGGAGGAUGCAAGCGUUAUCCGGAAUGAUUGGGCGUAAAGCGUCCGCAGGUGGCUAUGUAAGUCUGCUGUUAAAGAGUCUAGCUCAACUAGAUAAGAGCAGUGGAAACUACAAGGCUAGAGUGCGUUCGGGGCAGAGGGAAUUCCUGGUGUAGCGGUGAAAUGCGUAGAGAUCAGGAAGAACACCGGUGGCGAAGGCGCUCUGCUAGGCCGCAACUGACACUGAGGGACGAAAGCUAGGGGAGCGAAUGGGAUUAGAUACCCCAGUAGUCCUAGCCGUAAACGAUGGAUACUAGGCGUGGCUUGUAUCGACCCGAGCCGUGCCGUAGCUAACGCGUUAAGUAUCCCGCCUGGGGAGUACGCCGGCAACGGUGAAACUCAAAGGAAUUGACGGGGGCCCGCA
This 820-nucleotide ribosomal RNA is filed under the name Nostoc sp. 'Nephroma parile cyanobiont' 27_Rikkinen_et_al._003005. Its description in RNAcentral is "bacterial SSU rRNA". It matches the Rfam family "Bacterial small subunit ribosomal RNA", at positions 64 to 925 of the family's 1533-position model. The record is from RNAcentral. Lineage: Bacteria; Bacillati; Cyanobacteriota; Cyanophyceae; Nostocales; Nostocaceae.